RNAcentral lists this ribosomal RNA (510 nucleotides) under Campylobacter coli. Its description in RNAcentral is "bacterial LSU rRNA". It matches the Rfam family "Bacterial large subunit ribosomal RNA", at positions 1955 to 2464 of the family's 2925-position model. Lineage: Bacteria; Pseudomonadati; Campylobacterota; Epsilonproteobacteria; Campylobacterales; Campylobacteraceae. The record is from RNAcentral. RNAcentral also lists the same sequence under 1 other name.
GGUAGCGAAAUUCCUUGUCGGUUAAAUACCGACCUGCAUGAAUGGCGUAACGAGAUGGGAGCUGUCUCAAAGAGGGAUCCAGUGAAAUUGUAGUGGAGGUGAAAAUUCCUCCUACCCGCGGCAAGACGGAGAGACCCCGUGGACCUUUACUACAGCUUGACACUGCUAUUUGGAUAAGAAUGUGCAGGAUAGGUGGGAGGCUUUGAGUAUAUGACGCCAGUUGUAUAUGAGCCAUUGUUGAGAUACCACUCUUUCUUAUUUGGGUAGCUAACCAGCUUGAGUUAUCCUCAAGUGGGACAAUGUCUGGUGGGUAGUUUGACUGGGGCGGUCGCCUCCCAAAUAAUAACGGAGGCUUACAAAGGUUGGCUCAGAACGGUUGGAAAUCGUUCGUAGAGUAUAAAGGUAUAAGCCAGCUUAACUGCAAGACAUACAAGUCAAGCAGAGACGAAAGUCGGUCUUAGUGAUCCGGUGGUUCUGUGUGGAAGGGCCAUCGCUCAAAGGAUAAAAGGU